UACGUAGGGUGCAAGCGUUGUCCGGAAUUAUUGGGCGUAAAGAGCUCGUAGGCGGUCUGUCGCGUCUGCUGUGAAAACUCGGGGCUUAACCCCGGGCCUGCAGUGGGUACGGGCAGACUAGAGUGCGGUAGGGGGAGACUGGAAUUCCUGGUGUAGCGGUGAAAUGCGCAGAUAGUCAGGAGGAACACCGGUGGCGAAGGCGGGUCUCUGGGCCGUAACUGACGCUGGAGGAGCGAAAGCGUGGGGAGCGAACAGG
This 256-nucleotide ribosomal RNA is filed under the name uncultured bacterium. RNAcentral describes it as "partial 16S ribosomal RNA". It matches the Rfam family "Bacterial small subunit ribosomal RNA", at positions 524 to 776 of the family's 1533-position model. The record is from RNAcentral.